RNAcentral lists this signal recognition particle RNA (267 nucleotides) under Eubacteriales bacterium. Its description in RNAcentral is "signal recognition particle sRNA large type". It matches the Rfam family "Bacterial large signal recognition particle RNA". Rfam says of the family: The signal recognition particle (SRP) is a universally conserved ribonucleoprotein involved in the co-translational targeting of proteins to membranes. Archaeal SRP consists of a 7S RNA and homologues of the eukaryotic SRP19 and SRP54 proteins. In most bacteria, the SRP consists of a 4.5S RNA and the Ffh protein (a homologue of the eukaryotic SRP54 protein). The record is from RNAcentral. Lineage: Bacteria; Bacillati; Bacillota; Clostridia; Eubacteriales.
CCGCACACAUCGGGGAAUUAGCGGUGCCCUGUACCCGCAAUCCGCUGCAGCGGGGAUGAUGCGGGCGAGGAGGGACGGGCUUUCUUUGAGGCGUCUGCCCACAGGGCGAUGAGAGACCGGUACUGCGCAACGGAGGACUGUGAAUCAUGUCAGGCGGGGAACCGAGCAGCAUUAAGCAGAAACCAUCGUGUGCCGCAGAGCUGCCGAUCUUGAGCCCAAAGUGCGGAAAGGCAAUUGGAAGCGCGCUUUCGAAUCGUCCGCGUGCGG